This 427-nucleotide ribosomal RNA is filed under the name uncultured bacterium. RNAcentral's name for it is "bacterial SSU rRNA". It matches the Rfam family "Bacterial small subunit ribosomal RNA", at positions 355 to 774 of the family's 1533-position model. The record is from RNAcentral.
UGGGGAAUUUUGGACAAUGGGCGCAAGCCUGAUCCAGCAAUGCCGCGUGCAGGAUGAAGGCCUUCGGGUUGUAAACUGCUUUUGUACGGAACGAAAAAGCUCUCUCUAAUACAGGGGGUGAAUGACGGUACCGUAAGAAUAAGCACCGGCUAACUACGUGCCAGCAGCCGCGGUAAUACGUAGGGUGCAAGCGUUAAUCGGAAUUACUGGGCGUAAAGCGUGCGCAGGCGGUUUUGUAAGACAGAGGUGAAAUCCCCGGGCUCAACCUGGGAACUGCCUUAGUGACUGCAAAGCUGGAGUGCGGCAGAGGGGGAUGGAAUUCCGCGUGUAGCAGUGAAAUGCGUAGAUAUGCGGAGGAACACCGAUGGCGAAGGCAAUCCCCUGGGCCUGCACUGACGCUCAUGCACGAAAGCGUGGGGAGCAAACA